GGGGGGCCGACCUGAUUCACAAUAUCACGAUACGGUGAUGUAGUUAAAAUAAAUCCUCACCAUCUUCUUGUUUCCCUUUCUCUUUCUCUCAAACACACACACACACACACACACAAUUCACUUUGCGUCAGUUUCUCCAAAUCACCUUAGCAUAUGGGGUGACCAUUAUGGAGUGAGCUUUUAAGCACAUAGGCCUACUACAAUCAAUAAAGCAUAAGUUACCAUUCGUACGGUUUUCUUUAAAUACAGCUUUUUCCACCGUUCGUUAGUUACUCACACCAAAGAGCGCAUUUACAGGAACACCGAGACCUAUCAUGGACUUUGUUAAGAAAACUUUUACCAUCUUUUUUAAACCAUUUUCUCGUCCUUUAAGCGAUCCGUUAAUUUAUUAUUAUUUUCUAUUUACAGACAUCAUCAAUCUAACGGACGAAGGUUAUCUCAUGAGCCCAGAGUAUAACAACCUGUCCGACUGUAAGUCUUGUUCUCGUUGAUGUUGUUAACGCACAUCUCAUACACAUUUAUGCAUCUAAUACACAAUAAAUUCCGUUGUUUUUGUUUGUUUUACAGUCACGGUCGAUGAUCUGGAAGAGUUGAGCGAAAUCAUUCGUCAAGCGGAGGCCGUGGUUAAAAGAGCUGACCCGGUCCAACCAUCGUCUCAGACCGCUCCGGAGCAUGCGAAGGACGCUACACGUCCUCCUGUACAAACGCUACAUUCUUCUGCACCCGGGAGGAAGAGGUGGCGGACGCCCAGCAGCAGCACCAGCACCAGCAGCAGCACCAGCACCAGCACCAGCAGCAGCAGCAGCAGCACCAGCACCAGCAGCAGCAGCACCAGCACCAGCAGCAGCGACAGUGACGGUCGACCAAGUGUUUCUCGCAACGGUCGUAAAACCGCAAAAAGACCCAGAAAAUGUACGCAUAGUUUCAAAUGUGCGAUCUGUCAGAGGGAGAGACAAGAAAUACAUCUUCUCGUCGGUACUACGCUAAGGACCAUGAGCGAUAUCCUCUUUGUGAUGGGCCUUGGUGUUUGAGCCAAAAAGACCCAGAAAAUGUACGCGCGACCUUGUCAGAGGGAGAAAGAAGAAAAUACAUCUUCUCGUCGGU
Molecule: long non-coding RNA, 1104 nt
Organism: Epinephelus fuscoguttatus (brown-marbled grouper)
Lineage: Eukaryota; Metazoa; Chordata; Actinopteri; Perciformes; Serranidae
Exons: 3
Source: RefSeq, a predicted model, not a curated record